This 74-nucleotide transfer RNA is filed under the name Chloroflexota bacterium. RNAcentral describes it as "Chloroflexi bacterium tRNA-Glu". It matches the Rfam family "tRNA". Rfam says of the family: Transfer RNA (tRNA) molecules are approximately 80 nucleotides in length. Their secondary structure includes four short double-helical elements and three loops (D, anti-codon, and T loops). The record is from RNAcentral. Lineage: Bacteria; Bacillati; Chloroflexota.
GCUCCCAUCGUCUAGUGGCCAAGGACACCGCCCUUUCAAGGCGGAGAUCACGGGUUCGAAUCCCGUUGGGAGUA